CAGCAGCCGCGGGAAUAUGUAGGGUGCGAGCGUUAAUCGGAAUUGCUGGGCGUAAAGCGUGCGCAGGCGGUUGUGUAAGACAGGUGUGAAAUCCCCGGGCUUAACCUGGGAACUGCGCUUGUGACUGCACAGCUAGAGUAUGGCAGAGGGGGGUGGAAUUCCACGUGUAGCAGUGAAAUGCGUAGAGAUGUGGAGGAACACCGAUGGCGAAGGCAGCCCCCUGGGCCAAUACUGACGCUCAUGCACGAAAGCGUGGGGAGCAAACAGGAUUAGAUACCCCUGUAGUCCCUGUCUCUUAUAC
RNAcentral lists this ribosomal RNA (301 nucleotides) under uncultured bacterium. RNAcentral describes it as "partial 16S ribosomal RNA". It matches the Rfam family "Bacterial small subunit ribosomal RNA", at positions 509 to 807 of the family's 1533-position model. The record is from RNAcentral.